AGCCGCGGCAGGGAGGGCUGUGGGCCAGGGGCAGCUGAACUGGAACUAGGCACUGGGGAGGCUAUGGCUGAGGAGGCCGGCCCAGGCUCGCCCUGGGCUGCUUGCUCUGCCCCUGUCCUCAUCAAUAAGGAGCCGGUAGCACCAGCUUCUGUGUGGAGAGCAGGGCCGUCCGCCCCCUUGCACUCAGCCUGAUAAUUACUGGUUCCAGCUCCGACCUGCUGCUAGCCUCACAUGUGUAACUGGUUAAGAUGAGGUCAUUUUGACUUGGGGUGAGCACCACUCUAUAUGACUGGCGUCUUUACAAGAAGAGGAGAUGACACAGACUGGGAGGUGGAGUCAGAGGCUGGCGUGAUGCGUCCGUGAGUGGAGAGGAAGGGAGGCUGGCAGAGUCCAGGCAGGCCCUCCCUCUGCAGCCUUCAAGUAAAGCUGGCCUUACCCAGCCUUAGUCUCAUAAUCCGCAUUUCUUUCCAGCUUCUGGGUGUAGAACUGGGAAAUAAAAUACUUCUGCUAUUUAGGCCACCCAGUUUCUGCCCAUUUAUCACGGACAGCCACCCACCAUGCUUCCUCAUAAGCUUCCAGACAAAAUCUAUAACGUGGGGCUGUUUCCUGUGGAACAGGAACCGGGCACCAUGGCUUCCGUACCCAGCCCAACCCAAGAGACCCUGGGAGAUUCCCUUGAGGAGUAUUUUGUGCAAUUUCUUCUUAUUGUGAAAGAACACAUGCAAUGUUUAGUGUGUCACCCAUUCGGGAUGUUUGAAGCCUUGUAUCAUUGCUACAACUUUGUAUCUUUUUUAACCUACCCCCGCAUUAAAGGUCGCAUUCCCUUC
Molecule: long non-coding RNA, 827 nt
Organism: Mesocricetus auratus (golden hamster)
Lineage: Eukaryota; Metazoa; Chordata; Mammalia; Rodentia; Cricetidae
Exons: 3
Source: RefSeq, a predicted model, not a curated record